Molecule: ribosomal RNA, 359 nt
Filed under: uncultured bacterium
Lineage: Bacteria
Description: partial 16S ribosomal RNA
Rfam family: Bacterial small subunit ribosomal RNA
Source: RNAcentral
CCUACGGGGAGCAGCAGUGAGGAAUAUUGGUCAAUGGGCGGGAGCCUGAACCAGCCAAGUCGCGUGAAGGAAGAAGGUACUUAGUAUUGUAAACUUCUUUUGUCGGGGAACAAAGGCGGAGACGCGUCUCCGGAUGAGUGUACCCGAAGAAAAAGCAUCGGCUAACUCAGUGCCAGCAGCGGCGUUAAUACGGAGGAUGCGAGCUUUAUCCGGAUCUAUUGGGUUUAAAGGGUGCGCAGGCGGGAUAUAAAGUCAGCGGUAAAGUGUCGGGGCUCAACCCCGGCCGGCGGUUGAAACUGGUUUUCUAGAGUUGGAGAGAAGAAAGCGGAAUUCGUGGUGUAGCGGUGAAAUGCAUAGAU